This 369-nucleotide ribosomal RNA is filed under the name uncultured microorganism. RNAcentral describes it as "bacterial SSU rRNA". It matches the Rfam family "Bacterial small subunit ribosomal RNA", at positions 9 to 365 of the family's 1533-position model. The record is from RNAcentral.
GAGUUUGAUCGUGGCUCAGAUUGAACGCUGGCGGCAUGCCUUACACAUGCAAGUCGAACGGCAGCAUGAUCUAGCUUGCUAGAUUGAUGGCGAGUGGCGAACGGGUGAGUAAUACAUCGGAACGUGCCCUGUAGUGGGGGAGUAACUAGUCGAAAGAAUUAGCUAAUACCGCCAUACGACCUGAGGGUGGAAAGUAGGGGGGACCGGCAAGGCCUCAUGCUAUAGGAGCGGCCGAUGUCUGAUUAGCUAGUUGGUGGGGUAAAGGGCCCGACCAAGGCGACGAUCAGUAGCUGGUCUGAGAGGACGAUCAGCCACACUGGGACUGAGACACGGCCCAGACUCCUACGGGAGGCAGCAGUGGGGAAUUUU